AGAGUUUGAUCCUGGCUCAGGAUGAACGCUGACAGAAUGCUUAACACAUGCAAGUCGACUCGAGUCUUCGGACUUGGGUGGCGCACGGGUGAGUAACGCGUAAAGAACUUGCCUCUUAGACUGGGACAACAUCUGGAAACGGAUGCUAAUACCGGAUAUUAUGGUUUCUUCGCAUGGAGGAAUCAUGAAAGCUAGAUGCGCUAAGAGAGAGCUUUGCGUCCCAUUAGCUGGUUGGUGAGGUAACGGCCCACCAAGGCAAUGAUGGGUAGCCGGCCUGAGAGGGUGAACGGCCACAAGGGGACUGAGACACGGCCCUUACUCCUACGGGAGGCAGCAGUGGGGAAUAUUGGACAAUGGACCACAAGUCUGAUCCAGCAAUUCUGUGUGCACGAUGACGUUUUUCGGAAUGUAAAGUGCUUUCAGUCGGGAAGAAGUCAGUGACGGUACCGACAGAAGAAGCGACGGCUAAAUACGUGCCAGCAGCCGCGGUAAUACGUAUGUCGCAAGCGUUAUCCGGAUUUAUUGGGCGUAAAGCGCGUCUAGGCGGCAAGGAAAGUCUGAUGUGAAAAUGCGGAGCUCAACUCCGUAUGGCGUUGGAAACUGCCUUACUAGAGUACUGGAGAGGUAGGCGGAACUACAAGUGUAGAGGUGAAAUUCGUAGAUAUUUGUAGGAAUGCCGAUGGGGAAGCCAGCCUACUGGACAGAUACUGACGCUAAAGCGCGAAAGCGUGGGUAGCAAACAGGAUUAGAUACCCUGGUAGUCCACGCUGUAAACGAUGAUUACUAGGUGUUGGGGGUCAAACCUCAGCGCCCAAGCUAACGCGAUAAGUAAUCCGCCUGGGGAGUACGUACGCAAGUAUGAAACUCAAAGGAAUUGACGG
RNAcentral lists this ribosomal RNA (881 nucleotides) under uncultured bacterium. RNAcentral's name for it is "bacterial SSU rRNA". It matches the Rfam family "Bacterial small subunit ribosomal RNA", at positions 8 to 916 of the family's 1533-position model. The record is from RNAcentral.